GAGGUAGUAGCUCAAGGGUAGAGCGUCUGACUCCAGAUCAGAAAGUUGUGAGUUCAAAUCUUACCUACCUCA
RNAcentral lists this transfer RNA (72 nucleotides) under Lotharella oceanica. RNAcentral describes it as "tRNA-Trp". It matches the Rfam family "tRNA". Rfam says of the family: Transfer RNA (tRNA) molecules are approximately 80 nucleotides in length. Their secondary structure includes four short double-helical elements and three loops (D, anti-codon, and T loops). Further hydrogen bonds mediate the characteristic L-shaped molecular structure. tRNAs have two regions of fundamental functional importance: the anti-codon, which is responsible for specific mRNA codon recognition, and the 3' end, to which the tRNAs corresponding amino acid is attached (by aminoacyl-tRNA synthetases). tRNAs cope with the degeneracy of the genetic code in two manners: having more than one tRNA (with a specific anti-codon) for a particular amino acid; and 'wobble' base-pairing, i.e. permitting non-standard base-pairing at the 3rd anti-codon position. The record is from RNAcentral. Lineage: Eukaryota; Cercozoa; Chlorarachniophyceae.